CCUACGGGUGGCAGCAGUCGAGAAUCAUUCACAAUGGGGGAAACCCUGAUGGGGCGACGCCGCGUGGGGGAAUGAAGGUCUGCGGAUUGUAAACCCCUGUCAUGUGGGAGCAAAUUAAAAAGAUAGUACCACAAGAGGAAGAGACGACUAACUCUGUGCCAGCAGCCGCGGUAAGACAGAGGGCUCAAGCGUGGUUCGGAAUCACUGGGCGGAAAGUGUGCGUAGGCUGUUUCGUAAGUCGUGUGUGAAAGGCGCGGGCUCAACCCGCGGACGGCACAUGAUACUGCGAGACUAGAGUAGUGGAGGGGGAACCGGAAUUCUCGGUGUAGCAGUGAAAUGCGUAGAUAUCGGGAGGAACACUCGUGGCGAAGGCGGGUUCCUGGACAUUAACUGACGCUGAGGCACGAAGGCCCGGGGAGCGAAAAGGAUUAGAUACCCCUGUAGUC
This 446-nucleotide ribosomal RNA is filed under the name uncultured bacterium. RNAcentral describes it as "partial 16S ribosomal RNA". It matches the Rfam family "Bacterial small subunit ribosomal RNA", at positions 338 to 795 of the family's 1533-position model. The record is from RNAcentral.